Molecule: long non-coding RNA, 943 nt
Organism: Salvelinus namaycush (lake trout)
Lineage: Eukaryota; Metazoa; Chordata; Actinopteri; Salmoniformes; Salmonidae
Exons: 5
Source: RefSeq, a predicted model, not a curated record
UGUAAGCAUUGGAUCCUGUAUUGCAUGUGAUAGAGCUGAGUACAGAAUAGAGGAUACAUGUUGUCUCAUGUGUUCACCAGGAAAUCAUGUACAUAAGCAUUGUACUGAAUUCACCACUACCUCCUGUGUGUCCUGUGUUGAUUCUACAUUCCUUGAUGAGCCCAAUGGUCUCAUGAAAUGUGCACCAUGUUCCAGCUGUGAUUCAGAUUUGGGUUUGAGGGUGAAACAGCCAUGCACAUCACAAACAGAUGAUUUUUGUGAGCCACUGGAGGGGUUCUUUUGUUGGUUCUCAAACAGAAAUGGUUGUAAAAUAGCCCAGAAACACAGAAGCUGUCAACCUGGUCAAUACAUCCAUCACACAGGAACAUCAUCUACAGAUACUGUGUGUUCUGACUGUACUGGUGACACCUAUUCAGAUGGAUCAUUAACAUCCUGCCAGUCACACACACAAUGUGAAUCCUUGGGACUUCAGGAAAUUAAACCAGGAUCUCCUUGGUCGGAUUCAGAGUGUGGACCACAACUAUCCCAUUCCACAGCUAGAAGCAGAUUUGGUGCUGUGGCAUCCAUAACAGUUCUCAUGAUAUUAGCUGGAGCUGUUUUAUUAAUAAUAGUGAGAAGAAAUGUCGGCAUUUUAUCUGUUUCUAUUGCGUCGGUAAAUUAUUUAGUGUGUGUGUGUGAGUAUGAGUGAGUCAGAGAGAGGAGCGUCAAGUAACCUAGCGGGACGGCAGGUAACCUAGCAGUUAGGAGUGUUAUACCAGUAACCUAGCAGUUAGGAGUGUUAUACCAGUAACCUAGCGGGACGGCAGGUAACCUAGCAGUUAGGAGUGUUAUACCAGUAACCUAGCGGGACGGCAGGUAACCUAGCAGUUAGGAGUGUUAUACCAGUAACCUAGCGGGACGGCAGGUAACCUAGCAGUUAGGAGUGUUGUACCAGUAACCUAGC